CCCUUAGAUGUUCUGGGCCGCACGCGUGCUACACUGAGUGGAUCAGCGGGUCAGGUUGCGCGAAAGUGUUUCCUAAUCUUGAAAUCCGCUCGUGAUGGGGAUUGACGGUUGCAAUUUUCCGUCAUGAACGAGGAAUACCUUGUAAGCGCGGGUCAUCAUCCCGCGCUGAAUACGUCCCUGCCCUUUGUACACACCGCCCGUCGCUCCUACCGAUUGAGUGGUCCGGUGAGGCUUUGGGAUCUGAGCGGAAAGAGCGUUUCGCUGUUUCUGCUCGGAAAACUCAGUCGAACCUUAUCAUUUAGAGGAAGGAGAAGUCGUAACU
RNAcentral lists this ribosomal RNA (322 nucleotides) under uncultured eukaryote. RNAcentral's name for it is "partial 18S ribosomal RNA". It matches the Rfam family "Eukaryotic small subunit ribosomal RNA", at positions 1470 to 1796 of the family's 1831-position model. The record is from RNAcentral.